This is an RNA transcript of Alligator mississippiensis (American alligator), 2584 nucleotides long. It is a transcript of the gene named cyclin dependent kinase 1, with no coding region annotated. Lineage: Eukaryota; Metazoa; Chordata; Crocodylia; Alligatoridae. The transcript is spliced from 9 exons. The record is from RefSeq and is a predicted model, not a curated record.
GGCUGGGCCGGGGCGGCGCCGCGCGGUUAGUUCGAAUCGGCCCCGCACAGGCGCGUGCCGCCUCUGGGCUUUGUGCAGCGGCGGUCCCGGGGCAGCCACUCAGGCUAGUCACAUUAAGGAGUGAUGGACAACUACACAAAAAUAGAGAAGAUUGGUGAAGGUACCUAUGGUGUUGUAUAUAAAGGCCGACACAAAGCCACAGGCCAGGUGGUUGCCAUGAAGAAAAUUCGACUAGAAAGUGAGGAGGAAGGUGUUCCCAGUACAGCAAUCCGAGAAAUUUCCUUAUUAAAAGAGCUACAUCAUCCCAACAUAGUCUGUCUUCAGGAUGUGCUUAUGCAAGAUUCAAGACUGUACCUCAUCUUUGAAUUCCUUUCUAUGGAUCUCAAGAAAUAUUUGGAUUCUAUUCCAACUGGCCAGUAUCUGGAUCCCAUGCUUGUAAAGAGUUACUUGUACCAAAUCUUGCAAGGCAUUGUAUUCUGUCACUCGAGGAGGGUUCUACACAGGGACUUAAAGCCUCAGAACUUGUUAAUAGAUGACAAAGGAGUAAUUAAACUAGCAGACUUUGGAUUGGCCCGAGCAUUUGGAAUUCCUGUCCGGGUCUACACACAUGAAGUUGUGACACUGUGGUACAGAUCUCCAGAGGUGUUGCUAGGAUCUGCUCGUUACUCUACACCUGUAGAUAUAUGGAGUAUAGGCACAAUAUUUGCUGAGCUGGCCACUAAAAAACCGCUCUUCCAUGGGGACUCUGAAAUUGAUCAGCUCUUCAGAAUCUUCAGAGCUUUAGGGACUCCCAACAAUGAGGUGUGGCCGGAAGUGGAAUCCUUGCAGGAUUAUAAGAACACAUUUCCCAAGUGGAAACCUGGCAGUUUGGCAUCUCAUGUGAAAAACUUAGAUGAAGAUGGAUUAGAUUUACUUUCUGAUAUCUGAAAAUCUGAAGUUACAGGCCAGGGCUGUCCCACUGACAACCUCCAGGCUGCCACCCAGCUACUGUUGCCCUUCUCCCUCUGGUGGCUGCAGCAGAAGCUGGGGUUUCAGGACUCCUCCCUUCUCUGGUUUCUGCAUGGCACCACCCCAAGGGACAGGACAGGAAAAGGGCAAGAGGGGUAUGGACACAGGAUCCAUCGGGGAUGCAAAUGCUUGAGGACAGUGCUUGGAGGAGUCCUACCACUAGAAGAGAACUAUCCAAUUUGCAGAACUGGAGCUGUCUGGAUUUUGCAACUACUAAGCAGCAAUUUAAGAAUCAAUAAAUUAUUAUUACAUAACCAAAGUCCCUUUUUGCUCAAGGAAAAAGACUGUGAAAUGGGCUCUAUGGCGAUCAUCUCCAGUAAAUGAUUCAAAACUUACCAACAACCCACAUUAGCCUUCUUAUGAUUGUAUCAGUAUUGCUAGCAAUUCCUGUAAAACCUUAUGUUUGCAUCUCAUUGUUUUGCUUAUGCAAUGGAAGAACAAUGUUUAAUGCUGGUACUUUCAGGAUGAAGAGAUUCCUUAGCAGGUUGAUGGCUUAUCAGUUGUAAAACAGCUUGUUGCUAUAUCUUCUUCCUGAAAGGCCUGUGCCAAUUUACUGCAAUAUAAAAAUAAGCCAGCAGCUCAUAUGUGCUCUUGUUGCAAAAAAAGCCACCAGCAUACUGAGUUUUAUUAACAAGAGUAUCACUUUCAAAUCAAGUGAUUCUUCUUCUCUGUUGAGGCCUCAUCUGGUAUACCAGGCCUCAGACUGGUGAGGCCUCACCUGGAUGACUGUGUCCAGUUUUGGGUCAGAUUAGAAAGUCCAGUACAGAACAACAAAACUGGUUAGGGGCCUGGGAGACAAGAUUUAUGAGGAAAGAUUGAAAGGGUUAGGGGUAUUUAGUCUGGAGUAAACAAGACUGAGGAAGAAUUUGUUAACAGUCUUCAAAUAACUGAAGGACAAAUGGGCUUCCCUCUGUGGCUGUAAGGGAUAGGACUAAGAACACUGGCCUCAAGCUGCAUCAGAGGAAAUUUAGGAUAGUGAUUAGGUGGAACUUUCUGAUCAUGAGGGUUGUCAAACAUUGGAAACAGCUACCUAGAGAAAUUGUAGAAUCGCCAUCCUUUCAAAUUUUCAAGAGCAGGUGGCUGGGAUGGUUUAUUUAGUCAGAGAUGAUCAUGCCCUGAGCAGGCGGUUGGACUAGAUAACCUUAUGAUCCUACUUUCCUAUGAUCCUGCUGUGGUCCACCAGUCCAUUCAGUAAAAAUAUGUUGAAAUGUUUGAAGUAUUAGGCACAAUCUGUGUUGAUUGUGUUUUAUAACGUAAUCAAAGCAAGUCUUGAUGAGAAUAGUAGGGUUGGCUCACUUGGUUUUAGCCAACUACUAAAACUGUGAGACAGUUAUGAUGCUUUUUUGGAAUCACAGAUCUUUCCCAAGAAUAUUACUUAAAAAUCUAGCCAACUCUUAAGACCUAAUACUAAGAUCAUAUAAGUCAACAUCAAGAAAGGAAUUGCCAUUGUCUUCUAUGGACUUCAGAGAGAUGAGCUAACUAAUUUUUUACUGAAAGUAUUGUAGGCCUUUGUUUUAGUGGGUUAUUUACUUGCUGGAUCCCACAUCCAUUUCAUUAAAAGCCUUUUAAAAAGUGA